UACAGAGGGUGCGAGCGUUAAUCGGAAUUACUGGGCGUAAAGCGCACGUAGGUGGCGACGUAAGUCGGGUGUGAAAGCCCCGGGCUCAACCUGGGAACUGCGUCUGAUACUGGUUGGCUUGAAUUCGGGAGAGGGAUGCAGAAUUCCAGGUGUAGCGGUGAAAUGCGUAGAUAUCUGGAGGAAUACCGGUGGCGAAGGCGGCAUCCUGGACCGAGAUUGACACUGAUGAGCGAAAGCCAGGGGAGCAAACGGG
Molecule: ribosomal RNA, 253 nt
Filed under: uncultured bacterium
Lineage: Bacteria
Description: partial 16S ribosomal RNA
Rfam family: Bacterial small subunit ribosomal RNA
Source: RNAcentral